CAGCCGCCGCGGUAAUACGUAGGUGGCAAGCGUUGUCCGGAAUUAUUGGGCGUAAAGGGCUCGCAGGCGGUUUCUUAAGUCUGAUGUGAAAGCCCCCGGCUCAACCGGGGAGGGUCAUUGGAAACUGGGAAACUUGAGUGCAGAAGAGGAGAGUGGAAUUCCACGUGUAGCGGUGAAAUGCGUAGAGAUGUGGAGGAACACCAGUGGCGAAGGCGACUCUCUGGUCUGUAACUGACGCUGAGGAGCGAAAGCGUGGGGAGCGAACGGGAUUAGAUACCCCCGUAGUCCCUGUCUCUUAUAA
RNAcentral lists this ribosomal RNA (301 nucleotides) under uncultured bacterium. RNAcentral describes it as "partial 16S ribosomal RNA". It matches the Rfam family "Bacterial small subunit ribosomal RNA", at positions 509 to 809 of the family's 1533-position model. The record is from RNAcentral.